GAUGAACGCUGGCGGCGUGCCUAAUACAUGCAAGUCGAGCGAACAGACGAGGAGCUUGCUCCUCUGACGUUAGCGGCGGACGGGUGAGUAACACGUGGAUAACCUACCUAUAAGACUGGGAUAACUUCGGGAAACCGGAGCUAAUACCGGAUAAUAUAUUGAACCGCAUGGUUCAAUAGUGAAAGACGGUUUUGCUGUCACUUAUAGAUGGAUCCGCGCCGCAUUAGCUAGUUGGUAAGGUAACGGCUUACCAAGGCAAAGAUGCGUAGCCGACCUGAGAGGGUGAUCGGCCACACUGGAACUGAGAUACGGUCCAGACUCCUACGGGAGGCAGCAGUAGGGAAUCUGCCGCAAUGGGCGAAAGCCUGACGGAGCAACGCCGCGUGAGUGAUGAAGGUCUUCGGAUCGUAAAACUCUGUUAUUAGGGAAGAACAAAUGUGUAAGUAACUAUGCACGUCUUGACGGUACCUAAUCAGAAAGCCACGGCUAACUACGUG
This 497-nucleotide ribosomal RNA is filed under the name uncultured bacterium. RNAcentral's name for it is "partial 16S ribosomal RNA". It matches the Rfam family "Bacterial small subunit ribosomal RNA", at positions 28 to 507 of the family's 1533-position model. The record is from RNAcentral.